This 552-nucleotide ribosomal RNA is filed under the name Didymellaceae sp. FS1-1. RNAcentral's name for it is "eukaryotic LSU rRNA". It matches the Rfam family "Eukaryotic large subunit ribosomal RNA", at positions 58 to 623 of the family's 3401-position model. The record is from RNAcentral. Lineage: Eukaryota; Fungi; Ascomycota; Dothideomycetes; Pleosporales; Didymellaceae.
AAAGAAAGCAACAGCGAUAGCCUCAGUAACGGCGAGUGAAGCGGCUACAGCUCAAAUUUGAAAUCUGGCCUCCUUUGGUGGUCCGAGUUGUAAUUUGCAGAGGAUGCUUUGGCAUUGGCGGCGGUCUAAGUUCCUUGGAACAGGACAUCGCAGAGGGUGAGAAUCCCGUACGUGGGCGCCUGCCUUUGCCGUGUAAAGCUCCUUCGACGAGUCGAGUUGUUUGGGAAUGCAGCUCUAAAUGGGAGGUAAAUUUCUCCUAAAGCUAAAUACCGGCCAGAGACCGAUAGCGCACAAGUAGAGUGAUCGAAAGAUGAAAAGUACUUUGGAAAGAGAGUCAAAUAGCACGUGAAAUUGUUGAAAGGGAAGCGCUUGCAGCCAGACUUGCCCGCAGUUGCUCACCCAGGCUCUCGCCUGGGGCACUCUUCUGCGGGCAGGCCAGCAUCAGUUUGGGCGGUCGGAUAAAGGCUCCUGUCAUGUACCACCCCUCGGGGUGGCCUUAUAGGGGGGGCGUAAUGCGACCAGCCCGGACUGAGGUCCGCGCAUCUGCUAGGA